This is a non-coding RNA of Paramuricea clavata, 127 nucleotides long. The record is from the annotation of a GenBank genome assembly. NCBI's taxonomy places the organism in Eukaryota, Metazoa, Cnidaria, Anthozoa, Malacalcyonacea, Plexauridae.
ACAGAUUUGUAAGAACCUGUUUGCAGACCUGUAACAACUUGUGUAUUUUUACGUGCAUAGGGCUCAUCUACACAUGUAAAAAUGCACAAGUUGUUACAGGUCUGCAAACAAGUUGUUACAAAUUUGU